This is a long non-coding RNA of Peromyscus leucopus (white-footed mouse), 1695 nucleotides long. RefSeq lists it as uncharacterized. NCBI's taxonomy places the organism in Eukaryota, Metazoa, Chordata, Mammalia, Rodentia, Cricetidae. The record is from RefSeq and is a predicted model, not a curated record. The transcript is spliced from 3 exons.
AGUUAGCUGCGUAGGCAGCGGCUUGAUAAGGGGAAAAUGAACUGAAUCAUUAAGCUUUCUUUAUCGUCUCUUCUUUACAGACCACAAAACUGAGUGGAGAAAAUUCCACCAAAAACUUUAAUAUGGAAAAAAGAGGAAAGAAAUGAAAACAUCAGGAUCCCCCCACAAAGCUCUGCAAAGUGAAUGUGCGGUUGCAUGAGGCAAGCUGGUUCAUGGAACCACCCCGAAGAGGUGUUCUGGAAAUCGGUUGAUUAUCUCCAAAUGUUAUUUUUCAUUCUCGGAUUCAUCAAAAUCUUCGACUUAAGGUGCCUUGUGAAAAAUGAGCAGAUAAUGGACAGAUGAGGAAACUGAAGUGCAUGGAUGUUAAAUUGUCCAUUAACAUGGCGGAGUGUGACGGGCAGAAGCUUCCUCGUAGAAUGAGGCAGAACGUGCAGCUUUGCCCUCACAGCAGGAAUGGCAAGCCCAGAGUGGGUGUGAUGGGGAGCGUGUGUGUGGCAGAUGCUGUAGAAGUCAACCAGGUCUCAUCUGUGGAAAAGAAACACCUCAAAACCUCUUGUUUUUAGAGAGGGCUGGAGACUCUCAUUCCCUAGCUCCCCAGAGUCCUGAAGACGCUGGGUCCUUCUCUGGCUGUUGUCAUUAGUAGAUGGAAGCCGGAGAAUCUAAGACCACGUUUUCUCCUUGCGGUAGCUGGAACCUGGGUCCAUGUCUAUGAGAGAGAGCCUCCUGCAGGGCUGUGCCCUUUGCCUUUCCGUUGGACAAUCGUCCCAGUUUCAGACUCUGACCACAUGUCCUCUGUUCUGCAGGCAUGGAGACCAAAGCUCUUCCUGUCGUCGUUGGCACACCAUUUCAGCGUAUGGAGAGAGCCUUUCAGGAGGUUUACUUUCUCUUCUGGCUUUGACAUUUCCUUUCCUGCUGUAAAACCUAGAGUAUAUUACACCAUCUGACAGUCUCUGCUUUAGUAUAUGUUCAAUGGGAAUGGUGGACCCAUGUGGCCGCUGGGAUCAGCUAAGAUGAAAUGUAUGAAACACAUUGCGUGGUACUUAGUUGGUGGCUGGUCCCCAAAUUUAUAAUAGACAAAUCUCCUAUAUUGCUUCUCUUGUAUAAAAGCAUAUGAGUGAGUCUGGAGGGAAGGAGAAAAAGAGAGAGAGGGAGGGAUGGAGGGAAGGAGAGAGGAAGGGAGAGAGAGAGAGAUGGAUUCCAAUCUAGGCUCUUGACUUUCAUGUCCUUUGACUGAAACCUCAGAGACAUAUUUUACUUCACUGCUUGACACAUAUGCAGACGCUUACAAUUCAAAUAUAGAUUUUUGUGAACAAAUAUAGGCUUUAACUACAUGCAAUGUGCUGUACUCUUUACCACUCUAUCUAGUUCCUCCCGUUCCCUAUGGAGUGGAGAAACCAAACCCCAUAUCCCCAGAGGCUUCUUCUUCCCACCCUCAACUUAGUAGAGAGCUGGCACAGGAAGUCUAAGCCAUCCCAUGGAAGAACAGACUCUCUCUGUCAUUUCCUCAAGCAGGCACUCCCUGUACCCCUGUGUUGUAGAGACCCACGGGCCUGAGUCUUUUGCUGUGGAUGCCCAGUCAAGUCAGCUCAGCGGGAUGCUCAGGAGGAAGCUCCUGUAUACACUGCUCCUGGUCUUCUUCUUUUUUUCUGAGACAGGGUUUCUCUGUGUGGAGCCUGUCCUGGAACUCACUCUGUA